AGGUACAUGAGUUUAAGCUAAUUAAUUUUCUUCGAUUACACAUGCAUAUUUGUAAGUUUAUAAAAUUUUGGCUAUUGUGAUUUAUCAGUGUUUAGUUGAGAAAAUAAUUGUAUAUUAUUUUUUAAUUUUAUAUUUUAAUGUUUUGUAUAGGAAAUUAUAGAAAGCUAUAAAAAAUUAAUAAAUAAAUUGGAAAGAAAAGGAUACUUAUAGUAAUAAUAGUAUAUUAAUUAGUAAUUAAAAUUAAAAACAGUUUUAUCAUCCUGAGAUGGAGAAAAUAGAAGGAUGAUAUCAUUAGGUUGAAAUUGACAUGUAUGUACCUAUCUAUAGAAGGAUGGAUAACAGAGCAACAGAUUUAACUAAAAAUUAAUUAAACUGUAAAUUAUAAUCUGUCGUUUCUGUUAUUGGAAAUACACAAGUCCACAUUGAAUAAAGAAUGUUUUGGUUUUUUUGUGCUUAAUUUUGAACAGGGUAAAUGUGGAUCUUGCUGGGCUUUCAGCACUACAGGAUCUGUAGAAGGAGCCAAUUUUCUUGCCACUGGCAAACUUCUCAGUCUUAGUGAACAACAGCUCGUGGACUGCGACAACAAGGUAAUAAAUAAUAUAUAUAACUAUCUAUAUGUUCUACAUAUGAUAGAAUAAAUAAAUAAAUAAAUAAAAAAUUGAAGACAAAAAUAAAAUAAAAUUUAAUGCUGAUAAAUAAGUUUUUAAUGUUUUUCUUUUUUGCUUUUCAUACCCCAUCAAAUCAACUAGUUCAAUCUGUACAGAAAUUUCUGCUAUUUCAAUUUGUGCUUUUUUUACCUGAAAUUUGUUCUUGUUGCACUAUUGCCUUUGUCAAGUGUGACAUAACAGAGAAGACAUCAUGUGACAAUGGUUGUUAUGGAGGUCUUAUGACAAAUGCCUAUAAUUAUUUGAUUGAGGCUGGUGGAUUGGAAGAGGAAACUUCAUACCCUUACACUGGGGAUCGAGGUGAAUGCAAGUUUGAUCCAGAGAAAGUAGCAGUUAGAAUCACAAAUUUCACCAAUAUAC
This 1025-nucleotide long non-coding RNA is filed under the name Cicer arietinum (chickpea). RNAcentral describes it as "long non-coding RNA (CARI_LNC001013)". Lineage: Eukaryota; Viridiplantae; Streptophyta; Magnoliopsida; Fabales; Fabaceae. The record is from RNAcentral.